GAUGAACGCUGGCGGCGUGCCUAACACAUGCAAGUCGAACGGAGUCCAGCCUUUAAGACCUUCGGGUCAAAGAGGGGAAGACUGAGUGGCGGACGGGUGAGUAACACGUGGGCAACCUGGCUCAUAGAGGGGGAUAACAGAGAGAAAUUUCUGCUAAUACCGCAUAAGCACACACUGCCGCAUGGCAGAGGGUGAAAAGAGAAUCGCUAUGAGAUGGACCCGCGUCUGAUUAGCCAGUUGGCAGGGUAAGAGCCUACCAAAGCGACGAUCAGUAGCCGAUCUGAGAGGAUGAACGGCCACAUUGGGUCUGAGACACGGCCCAAACUCCUACGGGAGGCAGCAGUGGGGGAUAUUGCACAAUGGGGGGAACCCUGAUGCAGCGACGCCGCGUGAGUGAAGAAGUAUUUCGGUAUGUAAAGCUCUAUCAGCAGGGAAGAUAAUGACAGUACCUGAAUAAGAAGCCCCGGCUAACUACGUG
RNAcentral lists this ribosomal RNA (478 nucleotides) under uncultured bacterium. RNAcentral's name for it is "partial 16S ribosomal RNA". It matches the Rfam family "Bacterial small subunit ribosomal RNA", at positions 28 to 507 of the family's 1533-position model. The record is from RNAcentral.